UGGGGAAUAUUGGACAAUGGGCGCAAGCCUGAUCCAGCCAUGCCGCGUGAGUGAUGAAGGCCCUAGGGUUGUAAAGCUCUUUCACCGGUGAAGAUAAUGACGGUAACCGGAGAAGAAGCCCCGGCUAACUUCGUGCCAGCAGCCGCGGUAAUACGAAGGGGGCUAGCGUUGUUCGGAUUUACUGGGCGUAAAGCGCACGUAGGCGGACUUUUAAGUCAGGGGUGAAAUCCCGGGGCUCAACCCCGGAACUGCCUUUGAUACUGGAAGUCUUGAGUAUGGUAGAGGUGAGUGGAAUUCCGAGUGUGGAGGUGAAAUUCGUAGAUAUUCGGAGGAACACCAGUGGCGAAGGCGGCUCACUGGACCAUUACUGACGCUGAGGUGCGAAAGCGGGGGGAGCAAACAGG
Molecule: ribosomal RNA, 404 nt
Filed under: Actinomycetes bacterium
Lineage: Bacteria; Bacillati; Actinomycetota; Actinomycetes
Description: Actinobacteria bacterium partial 16S ribosomal RNA
Rfam family: Bacterial small subunit ribosomal RNA
Source: RNAcentral